GAUCCUGGCUCAGAUUGAACGCUGGCGGCAUGCUUUACACAUGCAAGUCGAACGGCAGCACAGGGAGCUUGCUCCCGGGUGGCGAGUGGCGCACGGGUGAGUAAUACAUCGGAACGUGUCCUGUUGUGGGGGGAUAACUGCUCGAAAGGGUGGCUAAUACCGCAUGAGACCUGAGGGUGAAAGCGGGGGAUCGCAAGACCUCGCGCAAUUGGAGCGGCCGAUGCCCGAUUAGCUAGUUGGUGAGGUAAAGGUUCACCAAGGCGACGAUCGGUAGCUGGUCUGAGAGGACGACCAGCCACACUGGGACUGAGACACGGCCCAGACUCCUACGGGAGGCAGCAGUGGGGAAUAUUGCACAAUGGGCGCAAGCCUGAUGCAGCAACGCCGCGUGGAGGAAGACGGUUUUCGGAUUGUAAACUCCUGUUCUUAGUGAAGAAUAAUGACGGUAGCUAAGGAGCAAGCCACGGCUAACUACGUG
Molecule: ribosomal RNA, 478 nt
Filed under: uncultured bacterium
Lineage: Bacteria
Description: bacterial SSU rRNA
Rfam family: Bacterial small subunit ribosomal RNA
Source: RNAcentral